UAACGCCCCAAAGUAGAGACCAGUAAGAUAAUUCUUUGUCCCUUUCUUCAACGUUCCUCUCGUCUUUUCGUACCAGCAGCUGCAAAUCCGUCCUUGUGGCCUUGAGAUGGGGCCACAUCGUUCGCCAAGGACGCUCGAGUCAAUCCAAGCCUUUGGUUUCCUUUCCUCUUCCGGAAUGGAGCCGAAUCGUCAGGAAACGGUGUCUCCCUCAAUUUGUGAAAGAGAUUUGGACUUUGAAAUUCGAAUUUGGACCCAUCCUCACUCAAUUUCCCCCAAUAAUCGAACCCUAAUAACCCCUAUGUAUAUUCUCUUUCGCUUCAUUGUAAAAGGGGGAAAUUUUUUUCGCUGACAGAAAACUUUGCUUGGUGAAUAGUUGAAAUUUGAGAGGAAAAUAUAGUAAACUAUCAGCUGCAAUUAUUUGAGGAUAAGUUCUCAGAAGCAAAAAAAAAAAAAAAAAGUGAGAGUUUAGGCCUUGUUUGAGUGCCUUGCUUGUUUCUUCGUUCACCGGGGUUUUCUUUGAGUCGUCGGAAGUUGGCGCUUUCAAAGCUGGUUAGAUAUCCCUGUUUUGCUCGUUUGACUAUCGACUGUGAGGUGUUCCAUUGGAAUAAAUAUGCAGCAUGUUUUCUGUUAAUACAUUUGAGUUGAAUUAUCUAUAUGUUCCCUGAGCAUGGCUCACACCACCGUAUCCGAGUCGUCCAUCCCGUUAUAACUGGUGUACAGAUCAAAAUCAGCAAAUUUGUUGCUGGGAAUUAAUUUGCAGGUCCCCGAAAAGCCGAAAAACAGGUCGAUAUACAUCCCGUAUACACUGGUAUACAAUGUGAAUAUACAAUAUGCAGUUGGAAAACGUUUCCAGGAAGUUAAAAACGCAAAAAUACAAAGUUUUGGUUUAAAUUUCAGGUUCAGGAGCGCAAAACUCGUCAAUAUACACAGCUUAUGCAUAGAAUAUACACUCAAAAAUGUAUCAUGACUUUGGAAAGAAAAUAGGCCUAAAUGCCCUAAGACCUGCAGCAGCAGAAUUUGGGCCCAGGGCCCAAAUUUGAUGUUUCCUCCCCUUCUUAUUUAUUUAUCAUGAUAGUUGACUAAUUAUUUUAUGUGAUUUUGGUUUAAUUUAAUUAUUCUCCUAUGAUAGACAUUCCUCUUAUUUAUACAUAUAUUUAUUUAUAUACAAAUAAUUUUACCUGGUUUUUGUUCUACUUCUUGGUCUUUGUCAACCCUUAAGUUCAUCCCUUUAGGUCAUCCCCUGAGCUAUGAAAAAGAGAUAAUUAAUUUAGAUGAUAAUGUUAAAUUAGAGAAAAUAAAAAUAAUAUAUACAUGUGUAAAAAAUUAUUUUUACAAGUCACUUAGCUUUUAUUCUAUUUUUGGUCGUAUUAACCCUUUAUGUCACCCCCCCUUAUAAAUGAUUUUCCCUUUUUCCUGAAAAAAAGUUUAGUUCAAUAGUAGUAAAUAAAAAAGUAAUAAAUAAAGUCUCC
RNAcentral lists this long non-coding RNA (1469 nucleotides) under Solanum lycopersicum (tomato). RNAcentral's name for it is "partial TCONS_00090406". Lineage: Eukaryota; Viridiplantae; Streptophyta; Magnoliopsida; Solanales; Solanaceae. The record is from RNAcentral.